AAAUACAAAUUCAAAAUAAAUAAAUAAAAAUUACAUUAAUUAAUUUAAAAAUUACAAAAUAGUCCCUAGAACUCCAGAAAUUGCAGGGAAGGACUUCUGCCACCAGCUGGAACAGUGGUGGCGCGUCUCCCCACGCGCCGCCGUCACUGGCGGCGCGUGGGUUCACGCGCCGCCGCAAGAAAAACACAGCAACAUGGGGCUGGAUUGACUUCUUCCCAUCAUCCUUUCGUCGCCGGCGGUGACCUGCAAAGCAAACCCCAAACACAGCAAGCAAUUGAUUUUAGUUUUUUGUUUUAGAUCUGCUUUUAAUUUUUUGUUUUCUCCGAUCUGCUCCUUCUUCAGAUCAUCUUCUCCCUGGGUCAGUUCGUUAGGGGCUCCGUCUUCUUCUCCUCUGCUCCGGGUUCUAGAUCGGGCGGCGCUGCAAAGGGGUCGCGGAUGUGGUUGCUGUUGCUGUCGUCCGUCCGGCGGUUGAAACCACAGUGGAGAUGGGCUUGCUGUCGAUGUUCAGGCGGAGGAACGGACCGAUCGGGGUCUGUGGGCGUCGCUGUUGAUGGUUGAGAGGAGCGCCGCCGAGAUGGAGAGUGGAUUAUGGGUCUGAGAACGGCUCUGCCCGUUCGCUGGUCGGUGGAGGUGAGGCUGUUCUGUUGGGUGACUUGGGGGAAGACCGGCGUUGAUGGAGAGGCUUGAGGGAAAGGCUUAGAGUGAGGGGAGUAUGUUCUGUCAAAGUGAAGGGGAGAUCGGGGGAAAGCAGAGGAGGCUAUUGAUGGAGGACCGACUGAGGAAAAGGGGUUGAACGACAGGUUUCAGAGAGGAAAAAAAAAUCAAAACCGGGGAAAAGGGGGGAAGUUUCAGUGGUGGUGUGGAAGGGAGAGUGAGGGCUGUUUUGUGAGGGUGAGGCUGGUUCGGUGGUGCUGCUUGUUGGGAGGAGGAGAAGGGGGUAUGGCCGGGGAAGAAGAGCUUCAAACCGGCUAGGGGCUGCUGUUUUGGCCGGUUCAGGGAGAAGAGAAAAAAAUUCAAAAGGUGAGGGGCUGGUUUGGGUGAGCGGCUGCGAGUAGAAAAAAAAAUCUUUUAGGUUUAGGGUUUUUUGUUUUGUGUUGUCUCUCCCCCCAAUCUCAAAAU
This 1119-nucleotide long non-coding RNA is filed under the name Populus tremula. RNAcentral's name for it is "long non-coding RNA (PTRE_LNC001071)". Lineage: Eukaryota; Viridiplantae; Streptophyta; Magnoliopsida; Malpighiales; Salicaceae. The record is from RNAcentral.